Molecule: ribosomal RNA, 427 nt
Filed under: uncultured bacterium
Lineage: Bacteria
Description: partial 16S ribosomal RNA
Rfam family: Bacterial small subunit ribosomal RNA
Source: RNAcentral
UGGGGAAUAUUGGACAAUGGGCGAAAGCCUGAUCCAGCCAUGCCGCGUGUGUGAAGAAGGUCUUCGGAUUGUAAAGCACUUUAAGUUGGGAGGAAGGGCAUUAACCUAAUACGUUAGUGUUUUGACGUUACCGACAGAAUAAGCACCGGCUAACUCUGUGCCAGCAGCCGCGGUAAUACAGAGGGUGCAAGCGUUAAUCGGAAUUACUGGGCGUAAAGCGCGCGUAGGUGGUUUGUUAAGUUGGAUGUGAAAUCCCCGGGCUCAACCUGGGAACUGCAUUCAAAACUGACUGACUAGAGUAUGGUAGAGGGUGGUGGAAAUUCCUGUGUAGCGGUGAAAUGCGUAGAUAUAGGAAGGAACACCAGUGGCGAAGGCGACCACCUGGACUAAUACUGACACUGAGGUGCGAAAGCGUGGGGAGCAAACA